This 335-nucleotide unclassified non-coding RNA is filed under the name soil metagenome. RNAcentral describes it as "partial contains 5.8S ribosomal RNA, internal transcribed spacer 2, and large subunit ribosomal RNA". The stretch from base 1 to 120 matches the Rfam family "5.8S ribosomal RNA", at positions 35 to 154 of the family's 154-position model. The record is from RNAcentral.
GAUGAAGAACGCAGCGAAAUGCGAUAAGUAAUGUGAAUAGCAGAAUUCAGUGAAUCAUCGAAUCUUUGAACGCACAUUGCGCCCGCCAGUAUUCUGGCGGGCAUGCCUGUUCGAGCGUCAUUUCAACCAUCAAGCCCCAGGCUUGUGUUGGGGACCUGCGGCUGCCGCAGGCCCUGAAAACCAGUGGCGGGCUCGCUGUCACACCGGGCGUAGUAGAUUUUAUCUCGCUCAGGGCGUGCUGCGGGUCCCGGCCGUUAAAAGCCUUUUUUUACCCAAGGUUGACCUCGGAUCAGGUAGGAAGACCCGCUGAACUUAAGCAUAUCAUAAGCGGAGGA